RNAcentral lists this long non-coding RNA (647 nucleotides) under Gorilla gorilla gorilla (western lowland gorilla). RNAcentral describes it as "lncRNA (ENSGGOG00000044647.1)". The record is from RNAcentral. Lineage: Eukaryota; Metazoa; Chordata; Mammalia; Primates; Hominidae.
UCCUGGUAAAAUGGUUAUAAAUUCAUCCUGACUCACACUUUUUUUCCAGAAUGAAUUUAUAAAAUGAUGAACUCUCACUUCCUAAAUUUUCUGCAGAUGCCACUGUUGCUGGAGAAAUGUCACUGCUAGAGAAUAGAAGACUAUUAUUCCAAAGGGUAUUUGAGACUGACUGAAUCAGGUUUGGAACAUUAUUGAAAUGAGACCCACAAAGGAAGAGAUACUGAGUAAUUCAGCAUUUCCAGUGACACCUUUCUGGCUGUGCUUCAAAGGGAAGAUGACGCUAGAGCUGGCAGCAUGACCAGCACUGUGUAAAUCACCCAGACAGACAACAACACAACAUCCAUGAAUAGAUGGCAGAGUUAGCAAGAAAAAAUAGCUUGGAGGAUGGAAAAACCCCAAAGGCCUAACUCUACCAAGAGGAGCAAAAACUGGACACUGUGUAACUUCGCAGAAUUAGCAACACGGACCCGUUACACAUGGCAGCACUGUGCAGUGGUUGGAAGUGCAGCCUUCAAAGCCAACUGCUUGGAUUUGGAAUCUUGCUCUUCCAUUUACAAGCUCUGCAACCUCAGGUAAGUCACUUAUCUUCUCUGUGCCUAUGUCUUCAUCUUUAAGAAGGAAAGUAACAAUAGCUACCUUAUUGUUAU